This 327-nucleotide ribosomal RNA is filed under the name uncultured eukaryote. RNAcentral's name for it is "partial 18S ribosomal RNA". It matches the Rfam family "Eukaryotic small subunit ribosomal RNA", at positions 1470 to 1796 of the family's 1831-position model. The record is from RNAcentral.
CCCUUAGAUGUUCUGGGCCGCACACGCGCUACACUGAAGGAGGCAGCGUGUACUCCUGGAUCGAAAGAUUUGGGUAACCCGCGAAUCUCCUUCGUGCUAGGGAUUGAGGUUUGCAAUUAUCCUUCAUGAACGAGGAAUUCCCAGUAAGUGCAAGUCAUAAGCUUGCGCUGACUACGUCCCUGCCCUUUGUACACACCGCCCGUCGCUACUACCGUUUGAAUGAUUUAGUGAGGACUUCGGACUGGGACCGAUGCGGCUUUCGGGCUGCGUCGGUAUUCUGGAAAGAUGUCCAAACUGUAUCAUUUAGAGGAAGUAAAAGUCGUAACA